Molecule: ribosomal RNA, 525 nt
Filed under: uncultured Glomus
Lineage: Eukaryota; Fungi; Glomeromycota; Glomeromycetes; Glomerales; Glomeraceae
Description: SSU rRNA
Rfam family: Eukaryotic small subunit ribosomal RNA
Source: RNAcentral
GGUGCCAGCAGCCGCGGUAAUUCCAGCUCCAAUAGCGUAUAUUAAAGUUGCUGCAGUUAAAAGCUCGUAGUUGAAUUUCGGACCGAUAUAUCGGUCGUGCCUCGGUACGUACUGGUAUUUUCGGUUUCUCCCUUCUGACGAACCUUGAUGUCAUUAAUUUGGUGUCUUGGGGAAUCAGGACUGUUACUUUGAAAAAAUUAGAGUGUUUAAAGCAGGCUCACGCUUGAAUACAUUAGCAUGGAAUAAUGAAAUAGGACGUUUGAUUCUAUUUUGUUGGUUUCUAGGAUCGACGUAAUGAUUAAUAGGGAUAGUUGGGGGCAUUAGUAUUCAAUUGUCAGAGGUGAAAUUCUUGGAUUUAUUGAAGACUAACUACUGCGAAAGCAUUUGCCAAGGAUGUUUUCAUUAAUCAAGAACGAAAGUUAGGGGAUCGAAGACGAUCAGAUACCGUCGUAGUCUUAACCAUAAACUAUGCCGACUAGGGAUCGGAUGAUGUUAAUUUUUUAAUGACUCAUUCGGCGCCUUACG